Molecule: ribosomal RNA, 253 nt
Filed under: uncultured Nevskia sp.
Lineage: Bacteria; Pseudomonadati; Pseudomonadota; Gammaproteobacteria; Nevskiales; Nevskiaceae
Description: partial 16S ribosomal RNA
Rfam family: Bacterial small subunit ribosomal RNA
Source: RNAcentral
UACAGAGGGUGCAAGCGUUAAUCGGAUUUACUGGGCGUAAAGCGUGCGUAGGCGGUUUGUUAAGUCGGAUGUGAAAGCCCUGGGCUCAACCUGGGAACUGCAUUCGAUACUGACAGGCUAGAGAACGGUAGAGGGAGGCGGAAUUCCGGGUGUAGCAGUGAAAUGCGUAGAUAUCCGGAGGAACACCGAUGGCGAAGGCAACCUCCUGGGCCUGUUCUGACGCUGAGGCACGAAAGCGUGGGUAGCAAACAGG